RNAcentral lists this ribosomal RNA (621 nucleotides) under uncultured bacterium. RNAcentral's name for it is "bacterial SSU rRNA". It matches the Rfam family "Bacterial small subunit ribosomal RNA", at positions 202 to 842 of the family's 1533-position model. The record is from RNAcentral.
GAAAGUUCCGGCGGUACAGGAUGAGUCUGCAUCUGAUUAGCUAGUUGGUGGUGUAAUGGACUACCAAGGCGACGAUCAGUAGCUGGUUUGAGAGGAUGAUCAGCCACAAUGGGACUGGGACACGGCCCAUACUCCUACGGGAGGCAGCAGUAGGGAAUUUUGCGCAAUGGGCGAAAGCCUGACGCAGCAACGCCGCGUGAUCGAGACGCCCUUCGGGGUGUAAAGAUCUGUCAGUGGGGACGAAACUUGACGGUACCCACAGAGGAAGCACCGGCUAACUCCGUGCCAGCAGCCGCGGUAAUACGGGGGGUGCAAGCGUUGUCCGGAAUCAUUGGGCGUAAAGAGUUCGUAGGCGGCACGUAAAGUCUGGUGUUAAAGGCAGAGGCUCAACUUCUGUACGGCACUGGAUACUUGCGAGCUAGAAUGCGGUAGAGGUAAAGGGAAUUCCUGGUGUAGCGGUGAAAUGCUUAGAUAUCAGGAGGAACAUCGGUGGCGUAAGCGCUUUACUGGGCCGUAAUUGACGCUGAGGAACGAAAGCCAGGGUAGCAAAUGGGAUUAGAUACCCCAGUAGUCCUGGCCGUAAACGAUGGAUACUAGGUGUUGCGGGUAUCGACCCCUGCA